AGACCCGAAACCCGGUGAUCUAGCCAUGGGCAGGUUGAAGGUUGGGUAACACUAACUGGAGGACCGAACCGACUAAUGUUGAAAAAUUAGCGGAUGACCUGUGGCUGGGGGUGAAAGGCCAAUCAAACCGGGAGAUAGCUGGUUCUCCCCGAAAGCUAUUUAGGUAGCGCCUCGUGAAUUCAUCUCCGGGGGUAGAGCACUGUUUCGGCUAGGGGGCCAUCCCGGCUUACCAACCCGAUGCAAACUGCGAAUACCGGAGAAUGUUAUCACGGGAGACACACGGCGGGUGCUAACGUCCGUCGUGAAGAGGGAAACAACCCAGACCGCCAGCUAAGGUCCCAAAGUCAUGGUUAAGUGGGAAACGAUGUGGGAAGGCCCAGACAGCCAGGAUGUUGGCUUAGAAGCAGCCAUCAUUUAAAGAAAGCGUAAUAGCUCACUGGUCGAGUCGGCCUGCGCGGAAGAUGUAACGGGGCUAAACCAUGCACCGAAGCUGCGGCAGCGAACGUAUCACUUAAAGCGAUUCAGCGGGUUACGAUUGACGGAGCGAAGCGACGUCAAAGCGUAUACAAAGUCGAGUCGGUUUAAGGAUACGUUCGUUGGGUAGGGGAGCGUUCUGUAAGCCUGUGAAGGUGUGUCGUGAGGCAUGCUGGAGGUAUCAGAAGUGCGAAUGCUGACAUAAGUAACGAUAAAGCGGGUGAAAAGCCCGCUCGCCGGAAGACCAAGGGUUCCUGUCCAACGUUAAUCGGGGCAGGGUGAGUCGACCCCUAAGGCGAGGCCGAAAGGCGUAGUCGAUGGGAAACGGGUUAAUAUUCCCGUACUUGGUGUUACUGCGAAGGGGGGACGGAGAAGGCUAUGUUGGCCGGGCGACGGUUGUCCCGGUUUAAGCGUGUAGGCUGGUUUUCCAGG
RNAcentral lists this ribosomal RNA (906 nucleotides) under Salmonella enterica subsp. enterica serovar Infantis. Its description in RNAcentral is "partial 23S ribosomal RNA". It matches the Rfam family "Bacterial large subunit ribosomal RNA", at positions 711 to 1536 of the family's 2925-position model. The record is from RNAcentral. Lineage: Bacteria; Pseudomonadati; Pseudomonadota; Gammaproteobacteria; Enterobacterales; Enterobacteriaceae.